RNAcentral lists this ribosomal RNA (253 nucleotides) under uncultured bacterium. Its description in RNAcentral is "partial 16S ribosomal RNA". It matches the Rfam family "Bacterial small subunit ribosomal RNA", at positions 524 to 776 of the family's 1533-position model. The record is from RNAcentral.
UACGUAGGUGGCAAGCGUUGUCCGGAUUUAUUGGGUUUAAAGGGUGCGUAGGUGGUCCUAUAAGUCAGUGCUGAAAUAUCCCGGCUUAACCGGGAGGGUGGCAUUGAUACUGCAGGACUUGAGUAAAGUUGAGGUAGGCGGAAUUGACGGUGUAGCGGUGAAAUGCUUAGAUAUCGUCAAGAACACCGAUAGCGAAGGCAGCUUACUAAGCUUUAACUGACGCUGAUGCACGAAAGUGUGGGGAUCAAACAGG